Molecule: unclassified non-coding RNA, 21 nt
Filed under: Mus musculus (house mouse)
Lineage: Eukaryota; Metazoa; Chordata; Mammalia; Rodentia; Muridae
Description: oocyte_clustered_small_RNA13499
Source: RNAcentral
CAGGGCUGACGUGUGUGUGGA